RNAcentral lists this long non-coding RNA (637 nucleotides) under Junco hyemalis (dark-eyed junco). RNAcentral's name for it is "lncRNA (ENSJHYG00000012913.1)". Lineage: Eukaryota; Metazoa; Chordata; Aves; Passeriformes; Passerellidae. The record is from RNAcentral.
CGCCCACCCCGCUCCGUCCCCGCCCUUUUUUCCCGCCAGGACCGUACCACGCCGCGCGGCCGGGGGGAGCAACCCGAUCCCCCCUCCCCUCUCGCGCGUUGGUGGGAGGCGCCGGCCGAGGCUAUAAAGGGGCGGGCUGGCGCGCGCGGCGCGCAGUGCGGGCGCCACGUGGAGCGGACGCGGAACGGCCGGCGCCGCCAUGGCCUCCAACGAUUACAGCCAGACGGCCACCCAAAGGUACGAACCCCCCUCCCCCCAUUUUUUAACCCUUUCCCCGCCCUGAAAUUCUCCCAUUUGGGAAUUCUUGUCCCAAAUUUGUUGUUUUUUCCCCUCAGUUACGGCGCCUACCCCGCCCCCCCCAGCCAGAGCUACUCGCAGGGGGGGGGGCAGAGCUACGGCCAGCAGAGCUACGGCGGCUACGGGCAGGGCUCGGACAGCGGCUACGGCCAGGGCGGGUACGGCUCCUCCUACGGGCAGAGCCAGAGCGGUGAGUGAGGGCAAAAAUAUAAAAAAUGUAAAUUAAUUCACGAAAAUGCCAAAAAUCCCCGUGUUUGUAUCAUGUUGUAUUCAAAUGUGAGCCCCAAAGUGCCCCAAGGACCCGGGGUACGGCCAGGGCGGGUACGGCUCCUCCUACGGG